GAUGAACGCUGGCGGCGUGCCUAACACAUGCAAGUCGAACGGAGUCGUUUUGGAAAUCUCUUCGGAGAUGGAAUUCUCGACUUAGUGGCGGACGGGUGAGUAACGCGUGAGCAAUCUGCCUUUAAGAGGGGGAUAACAGUCGGAAACGGCUGCUAAUACCGCAUAAAGCAUUAAAUUCGCAUGUUUUUGAUGCCAAAGGAGCAAUCCGCUUUUAGAUGAGCUCGCGUCUGAUUAGCUAGUUGGCGGGGUAACGGCCCACCAAGGCGACGAUCAGUAGCCGGACUGAGAGGUUGAACGGCCACAUUGGGACUGAGACACGGCCCAGACUCCUACGGGAGGCAGCAGUGGGGAAUAUUGCGCAAUGGGGGAAACCCUGACGCAGCAACGCCGCGUGAUUGAAGAAGGCCUUCGGGGUGUAAAGAUCUUUAAUCAGGGACGAAACAAAUGACGGUACCUGAAGAAUAAGCUCCGGCUAACUACGUG
Molecule: ribosomal RNA, 483 nt
Filed under: uncultured bacterium
Lineage: Bacteria
Description: partial 16S ribosomal RNA
Rfam family: Bacterial small subunit ribosomal RNA
Source: RNAcentral